Long non-coding RNA from Mauremys reevesii (Reeves's turtle), 523 nucleotides. RefSeq lists it as uncharacterized. The transcript is spliced from 3 exons. NCBI's taxonomy places the organism in Eukaryota, Metazoa, Chordata, Testudines, Geoemydidae. The record is from RefSeq and is a predicted model, not a curated record.
CAAACCAGAGCAAACAUACCAAAUCACAAUGCCCAGAGCAGGGUACCAGGUGCAGGACCUGCUGCUGCAGGAUGAGUGUGGACAGGCUCUCACUUUUCAGAGAAUCCUCCCCAUCCCUUCCAUACCAAGUCAGGAUUAGGGUUGCAGUCCUGAGGUUGAAGGUGCUGCUGUUGAUGGUCCAUGUCUCCUCCACAGGUUUUAUCAACAUCCUUCUUGAAUUGUGGGCACCAGAACUGGACUCAGUAUUCCUGCAGCGGUCACACCAGUCCAAAUACUGAGAGACAAUGACAAAGAAAACACUACAAAUAAGAUGGCAGAUUGAGGUCAUUUGACCUCCAGGCCUGAUGGGACUUGAGUCACAGGCUACAAAAGAACAGCUAAAGAAUCACAGUCUCCAUAAUGUCUAGCCUCUCCACUUUUUUUGUGAAAAGAGCCUGGGCAGGCUCCAGGCACCAGUCCAGCAAGCAGCUGCUUGUGGCGGCCAACAGUGAGGGGCGGCACAUCCGGGUCUUCAGCAGCAGCG